This is a long non-coding RNA of Pantherophis guttatus, 1204 nucleotides long. RefSeq lists it as uncharacterized. Lineage: Eukaryota; Metazoa; Chordata; Lepidosauria; Squamata; Colubridae. The record is from RefSeq and is a predicted model, not a curated record.
UUGGAAAUCGAGCGCAGGAGGGGGAAAAAAAAAAGCUUUUGAAAGCGCCCUCCCCGCUUUUCUCUCUACGUUUAGUUUGCUAGCUCUCCCUGCCUCCCCCCCACCUUACACACGCACGCACUCCCCCCCCCUCCUUUCAGAGACCUUCAAUUUAUCCCAUCGCCAAGCUGCAUGUCAGCUGGGAGGUGGGGAAGAAGCUGGCUGCAAACUGCAGAGGGUUAAUGGCAGAGAACUGCGCUGGGGGGAGGGGAAGGCCGCCUUUGCAAAUGGAAACAUCGCUACAGAAGCAUUUAGCACAACCGAGAGGGAAAACGGCCCAACUGCAAGGAGGGAAGGAAAAAAACUCCCUUUGCUGCCCUCUGGUGCCAGAUCUUGCCAAAAGGAAGCGAGAAAUGGGCUUUAUCUGUGAAGUUUGGAUGAGGAGUUGAAUUAGGCAAGGAAAAAGCCAGUGGAAGGUUGUGAAAGUGGAAGGUCAGAGACUCCAUGGUUAUUCAGGGGGCUGUGUGGGCAAGGCAUCGAUUGAUUACACGUUUACCCAGAAUCAAUUCUUAGCAUCAACACAGAUGGACCUUUUCCGGGAUGAGUUUCCUGGCUUGUACUUUAAGGUCUCCCUGUAAUUCAGUUCAUUCACUUGGCUGCUGGUUGUAUAUUUCUUUUUCCUUUUAUCUUUCCUGUCUAUCCAUAAUAUUCUCAGGAAUGAGCCUUACAUCAUCCGGUCUACCAAGUAGCCUUGUGUGACCAGUUGGUGUUCCUUGAAAAAUAAUCCAUUGCCAGCAGACUUCACCACCACCAGGAAGAAUCCACCACAGAUAAGAUUUUGGCAGCUGUUUUCAUUACAGAAACAAGACUGUACCACAACAUCUGCAAGUCUCAUGGACACUGCCAGCUCCAGUGCUGCUGCCACGCCUUAAUUGCCAAACAGCUGAUUGGCACACCAGUAUUCCUUUGCUGGUGUCUAUAAUUUUUAAAGGAUGAAUAUGAUUUUUUGCCCUCUUAGCACAUUGUGCAACACCAACAUUCUGUUCUGCUUCUUCAAAGUCUUGCUUUCAAUUUCGUAGUGUGUCAUAAAGAAAAUCAUUGCUUAUGUAUUUCUGAUAUUUGUGAAAGCUAGUUGUCAAACUUGUGUGCCACUAAUCUCACUGCCUCACUUGAGGCAGUUUUCAGACAUUGAAGAAAAUCCAGAAUAAAUCAUUAAAACAAUAAA